CGAGAGGACCGGGAUGGACAAACCUCUGGUGCACCAGUUGUCGUGCCAACGGCAUAGCUGGGUAGCUACGUUUGGACGGGAUAAGCGCUGAAAGCAUCUAAGUGCGAAGCCCCCCACAAGAAUAGAUUUCCUGUCUUUAUGACUAAGACCCGUGAGAGACUAUCACGUUGAUAGGUCGGAGGUGUAAGUGUAGUAAUACAUUCAGCUGACCGAUACUAAUAGGUCGAGCACUUAAUCAA
Molecule: ribosomal RNA, 239 nt
Filed under: Bacillota bacterium
Lineage: Bacteria; Bacillati; Bacillota
Description: partial 23S ribosomal RNA
Rfam family: Bacterial large subunit ribosomal RNA
Source: RNAcentral